Molecule: ribosomal RNA, 366 nt
Filed under: Acrotylus insubricus
Lineage: Eukaryota; Metazoa; Arthropoda; Insecta; Orthoptera; Acrididae
Also listed under: 1 other name
Description: partial 12S ribosomal RNA
Source: RNAcentral
CUAUUAUUCUAAGUGUGAAUGUGUUUUACCUGGGUAGUAAUAGUUAUGAUCUUUAAACCCAAAGAAUUUGGCGGUAUUUCAUUCCAUUCAGAGGAACCUAUCUCGUAAUUGAUAGUACACGAUUAACUUUACUUAAUUUAUUUGUUUGUAUAUCUCCGUUAUCAGAAAAUCUUUUUGGGGUUAUAAUUUUCUUAUUAUUUCAUUAAAUUUUAUUUCAGGUCAAGGUGCAGCUUAUAAUUAAGAGUUUGAUGGGUUACAAUAAUUUUUUGUUAUUAUGAAUUUAAUUUUGUAAUAUUUUAAUGAAGGUGGAUUUGAUAGUAAUUUAAAUUAUUUAAUUUAAUUGAUAUUGGCUCUGAAAUGUGUACA